AGGGGACCAAAGAGAUAUAUA
Molecule: microRNA, 21 nt
Filed under: Homo sapiens (human)
Lineage: Eukaryota; Metazoa; Chordata; Mammalia; Primates; Hominidae
Description: Hsa-Mir-3144-v2_5p (mature (guide))
Source: RNAcentral